GUAGCCGGCUAAACAUUAAUGGCGAUGAGACAUAUAGUUUUUGCAUAUUUAUACAUUUAAUUCGGAAAUAUAUUUUGCACACCAAGGCAUUUUGCUAUAUAUAGAAGCAUCCGGCAAUACAGAUGAGGCAAGAACAAUAUCAGAUCUAUCCGGUUUGUACCAAACAUCACGGAAAAGGUUCGUCUUUACUUUUCAAUCUAUUAGGGCUACAAAACACCGACAAACGGUCGGUAGGACCACAUUUAUGGAUCGUUUUAUUAUUUUCUAUAUAUAUCUACAUCUAUGAUUCCUUAAAAAAAUUUUGAAGUCGUUUAUUUAACGGAUCAAAAU
RNAcentral lists this long non-coding RNA (330 nucleotides) under Brassica napus (rape). RNAcentral describes it as "long non-coding RNA (BNAP_LNC020670)". Lineage: Eukaryota; Viridiplantae; Streptophyta; Magnoliopsida; Brassicales; Brassicaceae. The record is from RNAcentral.